AUACGUAGGGUGCGAGCGUUAAUCGGAAUUACUGGGCGUAAAGCGUGCGCAGGCGGUUUUGUAAGUCAGAUGUGAAAUCCCCGGGCUUAACCUGGGAACUGCGUUUGAAACUGCAAGGCUAGAGUGUGGCAGAGGGGGGUGGAAUUCCGCGUGUAGCAGUGAAAUGCGUAGAGAUGUGGAGGAACACCAAUGGCGAAGGCAGCCCCCUGGGUCAACACUGACGCUCAGGCACGAAAGCAUGGGGAGCAAACAGGAUUAGAUACCCCGGUAGUCC
This 274-nucleotide ribosomal RNA is filed under the name uncultured bacterium. RNAcentral describes it as "partial 16S ribosomal RNA". It matches the Rfam family "Bacterial small subunit ribosomal RNA", at positions 523 to 796 of the family's 1533-position model. The record is from RNAcentral.